This 421-nucleotide ribosomal RNA is filed under the name Bacillus zanthoxyli. RNAcentral describes it as "bacterial SSU rRNA". It matches the Rfam family "Bacterial small subunit ribosomal RNA", at positions 1017 to 1439 of the family's 1533-position model. Lineage: Bacteria; Bacillati; Bacillota; Bacilli; Caryophanales; Bacillaceae. The record is from RNAcentral.
CUUCGGGGGACAGAGUGACAGGUGGUGCAUGGUUGUCGUCAGCUCGUGUCGUGAGAUGUUGGGUUAAGUCCCGCAACGAGCGCAACCCUUGAUCUUAGUUGCCAGCAUUUAGUUGGGCACUCUAAGGUGACUGCCGGUGACAAACCGGAGGAAGGUGGGGAUGACGUCAAAUCAUCAUGCCCCUUAUGACCUGGGCUACACACGUGCUACAAUGGAUGGUACAAAGGGCUGCAAGACCGCGAGGUCAAGCCAAUCCCAUAAAACCAUUCUCAGUUCGGAUUGUAGGCUGCAACUCGCCUACAUGAAGCUGGAAUCGCUAGUAAUCGCGGAUCAGCAUGCCGCGGUGAAUACGUUCCCGGGCCUUGUACACACCGCCCGUCACACCACGAGAGUUUGUAACACCCGAAGUCGGUGGAGUAAC